RNAcentral lists this ribosomal RNA (477 nucleotides) under uncultured bacterium. RNAcentral's name for it is "bacterial SSU rRNA". It matches the Rfam family "Bacterial small subunit ribosomal RNA", at positions 14 to 518 of the family's 1533-position model. The record is from RNAcentral.
CGAUUCUGGCUCAGGAUGAACGCUGGCGGCGUGCCUAACACAUGCAAGUCGAGCGAUUUCUUCGGAGAAGAGCGGCGGACGGGUGAGUAACGCGUGGGUAACCUGCCUCAUACACAUGGAUAACAUACCGAAAGGUAUGCUAAUACAGGAUAAUAUAAGAGAUUCACAUGGAUUUCUUAUCAAAGCUCCGGCGGUAUGAGAUGGACCCGCGUCUGAUUAGCUAGUUGGUAGGGUAACGGCUUACCAAGGCGACGAUCAGUAGCCGACCUGAGAGGGUGAUCGGCCACAUUGGAACUGAGACACGGUCCAAACUCCUACGGGAGGCAGCAGUGGGGAAUAUUGCACAAUGGGCGAAAGCCUGAUUGCAGCAACGCCGCGUGAGUGAUGAAGGCCUUCGGGUCGUAAAACUCUGUCCUCAAGGAAGAUAAUGACGGUACUUGAGGAGGAAGCCCCGGCUAACUACGUGCCAGCCGCCGC